RNAcentral lists this ribosomal RNA (1332 nucleotides) under Streblocera janus. RNAcentral describes it as "SSU rRNA". It matches the Rfam family "Eukaryotic small subunit ribosomal RNA", at positions 43 to 1306 of the family's 1831-position model. Lineage: Eukaryota; Metazoa; Arthropoda; Insecta; Hymenoptera; Braconidae. The record is from RNAcentral.
AUUAAGCCAUGCAUGUCUCAGUACAUGCCGUAUUAAGGUGAAACCGCGAAUGGCUCAUUAAAUCAGUUAUGGUUCCUUAGAUCGUACACACAUUUACUUGGAUAACUGUGGUAAUUCUAGAGCUAAUACAUGCAAACCAGAGUUCCGACCAGAGAUGGAAGGAACGCUUUUAUUAGAUCAAAACCAAUCGGUGGCGGGUUAACGCCCGUCCAUCGUUUACUUUGGUGACUCUGAAUAACUUUGUGCUGAUCGCAUGGUCUUGUACCGGCGACGAAUCUUUCAAAUGUCUGCCUUAUCAACUGUCGAUGGUAGGUUCUGCGCCUACCAUGGUUGUAACGGGUAACGGGGAAUCAGGGUUCGAUUCCGGAGAGGGAGCCUGAGAAACGGCUACCACAUCCAAGGAAGGCAGCAGGCGCGCAAAUUACCCACUCCCGGCACGGGGAGGUAGUGACGAAAAAUAACGAUACGGGACUCAUCCGAGGCCCCGUAAUCGGAAUGAGUACACUUUAAAUCCUUUAACGAGGAUCCAUUGGAGGGCAAGUCUGGUGCCAGCAGCCGCGGUAAUUCCAGCUCCAAUAGCGUAUAUUAAAGUUGUUGCGGUUAAAAAGCUCGUAGUUGAAUCUGUGUGCCACGCUGUCGGUUCACCGCUCGCGGUGUUUAACUGGCAUGAUUGUGGGACGUCCUACCGGUGGAUUUAGCUGUGUGCAAAUAUGGCGAUCCAACUAAUAUCCCAUCGCGGUGCUCUUCAUUGAGUGCCGAGGUGGGCCGGUACGUUUACUUUGAACAAAUUAGAGUGCUUAAAGCAGGCUUAUUUUGCCUGAAUAUUGUGUGCAUGGAAUAAUGGAAUAGGACCUCGGUUCUAUUUUGUUGGUUUUCGGAACCCCGAGGUAAUGAUUAAUAGGGACAGAUGGGGGCAUUCGUAUUGCGACGUUAGAGGUGAAAUUCUUGGAUCGUCGCAAGACGAACAGAAGCGAAAGCAUUUGCCAAAAAUGUUUUCAUUAAUCAAGAACGAAAGUUAGAGGUUCGAAGGCGAUCAGAUACCGCCCUAGUUCUAACCAUAAACGAUGCCAGCUAGCGAUCCGCCGAAGUUCCUCCGAUGACUCGGCGGGCAGCUUCCGGGAAACCAAAGCUUUUGGGUUCCGGGGGAAGUAUGGUUGCAAAGCUGAAACUUAAAGGAAUUGACGGAAGGGCACCACCAGGAGUGGAGCCUGCGGCUUAAUUUGACUCAACACGGGAAACCUCACCAGGCCCGGACACUGGAAGGAUUGACAGAUUGAUAGCUCUUUCUUGAUUCGGUGGGUGGUGGUGCAUGGCCGUUCUUAGUUGGUGGAG